CCUACGGGCGGCAGCAGUGGGGAAUAUUGCACAAUGGGGGGAACCCUGAUGCAGCAACGCCGCGUGGGUGAAGAAGUACUUCGGUAUGUAAAGCCCUGUCAGCAGGGAAGAAAAUGACGGUACCUGACCAAGAAGCCCCGGCUCACUACGAGCCAGCAGCCGCGGUACUACGUAGGGGGCAAGCGUUAUCCGGAUGUACUGGGUGUAAAGGGAGCGUAGACGGCAAGGCAAGUCUGGAGUGAAAGCCCGUGGCUCAACCACGGGACUGCUUUGGAAACUGUGUUGCUGGAGUGCAGGAGGGGUAAGCGGAAUUCCUAGUGUAGCGGUGAAAUGCGUAGAUAUUAGGAGGAACACCGGUGGCGAAGGCGGCUUACUGGACUGUAACUGACGUUGAGGCUCGAAAGCGUGGGGAGCAAACAGGAUUAGAUACCCGAGUAGUC
RNAcentral lists this ribosomal RNA (440 nucleotides) under uncultured bacterium. RNAcentral's name for it is "partial 16S ribosomal RNA". It matches the Rfam family "Bacterial small subunit ribosomal RNA", at positions 338 to 795 of the family's 1533-position model. The record is from RNAcentral.